GCGCCCAUAGUUCAACGGAUAGAACGGGAGAUUGCGGAUCUUCUGAUGUAGGUUCAAUUCCUACUGGGCGCA
This 72-nucleotide transfer RNA is filed under the name bacterium. RNAcentral's name for it is "tRNA-Arg". It matches the Rfam family "tRNA". Rfam says of the family: Transfer RNA (tRNA) molecules are approximately 80 nucleotides in length. Their secondary structure includes four short double-helical elements and three loops (D, anti-codon, and T loops). The record is from RNAcentral.